This 426-nucleotide ribosomal RNA is filed under the name uncultured bacterium. RNAcentral's name for it is "bacterial SSU rRNA". It matches the Rfam family "Bacterial small subunit ribosomal RNA", at positions 356 to 773 of the family's 1533-position model. The record is from RNAcentral.
AGGGAAUCUUCCGCAAUGGACGAAAGUCUGACGGAGCAACGCCGCGUGAGUGAAGAAGGCCUUCGGGUCGUAAAACUCUGUUGCCGGGGAAGAACAAGUGCCGUUCGAACAGGGCGGUGCCUUGACGGUACCCGGCCAGAAAGCCACGGCUAACUACGUGCCAGCAGCCGCGGUAAUACGUAGGUGGCAAGCGUUGUCCGGAAUUAUUGGGCGUAAAGCGCGCGCAGGCGGUUUCUUAAGUCUGAUGUGAAAUCUUGCGGCUCAACCGCAAGCGGUCAUUGGAAACUGGGGGGCUUGAGUGCAGAAGAGGAGAGUGGAAUUCCACGUGUAGCGGUGAAAUGCGUAGAGAUGUGGAGGAACACCAGUGGCGAAGGCGACUCUCUGGACUGUAACUGACGCUGAGGCGCGAAAGCGUGGGGAGCAAAC